Long non-coding RNA from Carassius auratus (goldfish), 190 nucleotides. RefSeq lists it as uncharacterized. The transcript is spliced from 2 exons. Lineage: Eukaryota; Metazoa; Chordata; Actinopteri; Cypriniformes; Cyprinidae. The record is from RefSeq and is a predicted model, not a curated record.
AGAUGGAGGAAUCAGGGAGUCUUUGACCAUCUUCUCUGCAUCAAAGGGAGGACUGAAUCUGAUUGACUGAUCUACUCAUUUUUAUUUGUCCCCCUCUGUCACUUAGGAGUUGUGCAAUGAUAAAUUAGUUUGUCAUUGGUGGAGGGCAGUUGUAAAGGUGUGCAGACAUCUUGAGGGUAAGCAAAAAUAC